Aethalodelphis obliquidens (Pacific white-sided dolphin) is the source of this 386-nucleotide long non-coding RNA. RefSeq lists it as uncharacterized. The transcript is spliced from 4 exons. Lineage: Eukaryota; Metazoa; Chordata; Mammalia; Artiodactyla; Delphinidae. The record is from RefSeq and is a predicted model, not a curated record.
CUUCCAUAGGUGGGAGUAUAUCAAACCUCUAUGGUAUAUUAGUAGCUCGUUAUAGGCAAUAUCCAGAGAUAAAAACAAAAGGCAUGACAGCACUUCCAUGCAUUGUAUUGUUUGUUUCUGAACAAGGUCAAUAUUUAGUAAAAAAAAGCUGCAGCAAUCCUUGGUAUGGGAACUGAUAAUGUAAUUGAAGCAAAAUGUGAUGAAAGGGGAAAGAUGAUUCCAGCUGAGUUGGAGAAAAAUAUAUUACAAGCUAAAAGGAAGGCAGCUUGGGGAGGUGGAUUGUUGCUGUCCAGAAACCACUCCUAUAAACUCAGUGGCAUUGAAAGGUGAGACCCGGGCCAUUGCUUGUGCAAGCGAAAGAACCUAUUUACGCUUCUAUUUUCUUU